ACCACAUCCAGGAAGGCAGCAGGCGCGCAAAUUACCCAAUCCCGAUACGGGGAGGUAGUGACAAUAAAUAACAAUACAGGGCUUUUCAGUCUUGUAAUUGGAAUGAGUACAAUUUAAAUCUCUUAACGAGGAACAAUCGGAGGGCAAGUCUGGUGCCAGCAGCCGCGGUAAUUCCAGCUCCAAUAGCGUAUAUUAGAGUUGUUGCAGUUAAAAAGCUCGUAGUUGAAUUUUAGGCCCGGUUGGACGGUCUGCCUUUGGGUUUGUACUGUCCUGACUGGGCCUUACCUUCUGGUGAGCUGUCGUGUUGUUUACUCAGCGCGGCAGGGAACCAGGACUUUUACUUUGAAAAAAUUAGAGUGUUUAAAGCAGGCAUUCGCUUGAAUACAUUAGCAUGGAAUAAUAGAAUAGGACUUUGGUUCUAUUUUGUUGGUUUCUAGGACCGAAGUAAUGAUUAAUAGGGAUAGUUGGGGGCAUUAGUAUUUAAUUGUCAGAGGUGAAAUUCUUGGAUUUAUUAAAGACUAACUUCUGCGAAAGCAUUUGCCAAGGAUGUUUUCAUUAAUCAAGAACGAAAGUUAGGGGAUCGAAGACGAUCAGAUACCGUCGUAGUCUUAACCAUAAACUAUGCCGACUAGGGAUCAGGCAAGGAUAUUUUGACUUGUUUGGCACCUUAUGGGA
This 675-nucleotide ribosomal RNA is filed under the name uncultured Mortierella. Its description in RNAcentral is "SSU rRNA". It matches the Rfam family "Eukaryotic small subunit ribosomal RNA", at positions 409 to 1095 of the family's 1831-position model. Lineage: Eukaryota; Fungi; Mortierellomycota; Mortierellomycetes; Mortierellales; Mortierellaceae. The record is from RNAcentral.